UGCCAGCCGCCGCGGUAAUACGGAGGGGGUUAGCGUUGUUCGGAAUUACUGGGCGUAAAGCGCACGUAGGCGGACUUUUAAGUCAGAUGUGAAAUCCCGGGGCUCAACCCCGGAACUGCAUUUGAAACUGGAAGUCUGGAGUUCAGGAGAGGUUAGCGGAAUACCGAGUGUAGAGGUGAAAUUCGUAGAUAUUCGGUGGAACACCAGUGGCGAAGGCGGCUAACUGGACUGAUACUGACGCUGAGGUGCGAAAGCCAGGGUAGCGAACGGGAUUAGAUA
This 279-nucleotide ribosomal RNA is filed under the name uncultured bacterium. RNAcentral describes it as "partial 16S ribosomal RNA". It matches the Rfam family "Bacterial small subunit ribosomal RNA", at positions 506 to 784 of the family's 1533-position model. The record is from RNAcentral.